GGGUGCGUCGCAUAGCGGCAAUUGCACUGCGCUGUAAACGCAGCGCCCUAACGGGCUACGCAGGUUCGAGUCCUGCCGCACCCACCA
Molecule: transfer RNA, 87 nt
Filed under: Candidatus Giovannonibacteria bacterium RIFCSPHIGHO2_12_44_12
Lineage: Bacteria; Candidatus Giovannoniibacteriota
Description: tRNA-Tyr
Rfam family: tRNA
About the family: Transfer RNA (tRNA) molecules are approximately 80 nucleotides in length. Their secondary structure includes four short double-helical elements and three loops (D, anti-codon, and T loops).
Source: RNAcentral